UGGGGGAUAUUGCACAAUGGGCGAAAGCCUGAUGCAGCGACGCCGCGUGGGGGAUGAAGUCUUUCGGUUUGUAAACCUCUUUCGCUAUCGAACAAGGCCCGCUUAGGGUGGGUUGAGGGUAGGUGGAGAAGAAGCGCCGGCUAACUACGUGCCAGCAGCCGCGGUAAUACGUAGGGCGCGAGCGUUGUCCGGAAUUAUUGGGCGUAAAGGGCUUGUAGGCGGCUUGUUGCGCCUGCUGUGAAAACGCGGGGCUUAACUUCGCGCGUGCAGUGGGUACGGGCAGGCUUGAGUGUGGUAGGGGUGACUGGAAUUCCAGGUGUAGCGGUGGAAUGCGCAGAUAUCUGGAGGAACACCGAUGGCGAAGGCAGGUCACUGGGCCAUUACUGACGCUGAGGAGCGAAAGCAUGGGUAGCGAACAGG
Molecule: ribosomal RNA, 420 nt
Filed under: bacterium
Lineage: Bacteria
Description: partial 16S ribosomal RNA
Rfam family: Bacterial small subunit ribosomal RNA
Source: RNAcentral